The submitters of this non-coding RNA (37 nucleotides) gave its source as unclassified sequences. The record is from Rfam.
AAGGCGGUCACCGAAAAGCCUUUGAAUAGAGUAGGUG